AGGGCGUGUUGCUUGUGAGUAUGGCGGAGUAUUUUGCAAAAAUACUUUAGGUAGUUGUGUACCCACGUCUUG
This 72-nucleotide transfer RNA is filed under the name Tracheophilus cymbius. RNAcentral's name for it is "tRNA-Cys". The record is from RNAcentral. Lineage: Eukaryota; Metazoa; Platyhelminthes; Trematoda; Plagiorchiida; Cyclocoelidae.